This 468-nucleotide ribosomal RNA is filed under the name uncultured bacterium. RNAcentral describes it as "partial 16S ribosomal RNA". It matches the Rfam family "Bacterial small subunit ribosomal RNA", at positions 28 to 507 of the family's 1533-position model. The record is from RNAcentral.
GACGAACGCUGGCGGCGUGCUUAACACAUGCAAGUCGAACGGAAAGGCCCUGCUUUUGUGGGGUGCUCGAGUGGCGAACGGGUGAGUAACACGUGAGUAACCUGCCCUUGACUUUGGGAUAACUUCAGGAAACUGGGGCUAAUACCGGAUAGGAGCUCCUGCUGCAUGGUGGGGGUUGGAAAGUUUCGGCGGUGGGGGAUGGACUCGCGGCUUAUCAGCUUGUUGGUGGGGUAGUGGCUUACCAAGGCUUUGACGGGUAGCCGGCCUGAGAGGGUGACCGGCGACCUUGGGACUGAGAUACGGCCCAGACGCCUACGGGAGGCAGCAGUGGGGAAUAUGGCACAAUGGGCGGAAGCCUGAUGCAGCAACGCCGCGUGCGGGAUGACGGCCUUCGGGGUGUAAACCGCUUUCGCCUGUGACGAAGCGUGAGUGACGGUAAUGGGUAAAGAAGCACCGGCUAACUACGUG